Trichoplusia ni (cabbage looper) is the source of this 8981-nucleotide RNA transcript. It is a transcript of the gene named cytoplasmic protein NCK1, with no coding region annotated. Lineage: Eukaryota; Metazoa; Arthropoda; Insecta; Lepidoptera; Noctuidae. The record is from RefSeq and is a predicted model, not a curated record. The transcript is spliced from 8 exons.
UCAGUUUGUUGUCUAUGCUGCCGCUAGUAAGUGGUUUUCUAAAAAAGUAAAUUUGUCUAUUGAUUCGUCGUUCGUUGCCCCACCGACGAGUGUGAUUUUUCAUGAAAUUAAUAGUUAAUUUAUGUUAAACUGAGUGAAAUUCCUACUAAUUUUAAUGUACAUUAUAGAAGACACUUCAAUAUAAAUUAUUCUUAUAGAAUAAUAAAUAUUUGAACGAUCUGAAAGGUCGGUUUGUAGGAAGCUCUUUGGUGUCUCUUGGCUUUCGAUCAGAUUUUCGCACGUCGGUCAAUAAACAAUCUUUAGGUUUUGUGGUCGUGCUGCAUUGUGAAUCGAUCGAUUCUUGAGGUGUUGGUGCUUGAGUGCAGUGUAUGUGGUGCAGUGCGGAGGUGUUAGUGUACGCAAUGUAUCAGUGAAGGCGACUGCGGUGACCCACGGGAUCCGUAGCUGGGGGUGUCAUGCUGGAGACGCGGUCAGCGCGCGCCGCAGAUUCGGUGUGGGCGAACAAGCCGCUGCCGGCGCCUCACGCCAUGGCCAACACGAGGCACGGAAAAAACGCCCAGGAUGACGUAUGCUACGUGGUUGCUAAGUACGACUAUGCAGCACAGGGGGCACAAGAGUUGGACCUCCGUAAAAACGAGCGGUAUCUACUGUUGGACGACUCCAAGCACUGGUGGCGGGUACAGAACGCUCGCAGCCAGUCAGGCUACGUGCCUAGUAAUUAUGUCAAGAAGGAGAAGCCUUCGCUGUUUGACAGUAUUAAGAAGAAGGUGAAGAAGGGCUCGGGCUCGAAGACGCUGCCGUCGAACAGCUCCCCGGUGCGCGGCGGCGGCGGCGGCGAGGCGGGCGGCGCGCGCCGCGUGGAGCCGGCCGAGGCGCUGGGCACGGCCGUGGUCAAGUACAACUACCAGGCGCAGCAGCCCGACGAGCUCGCGCUCACCAAGGGCACGCGCAUACUCAUCCUGGAGAAGAGCAACGACGGCUGGUGGCGGGGGCAGUACCAGGGACACACCGGCUGGUUUCCUUCGAACUACACCAGUGAAGAAGGCGACAAUGAGGACCCGGUGCAUACAUACGCUAUGGCGGAAAACGUCCUGGACAUUGUGUCGUCACAGGUGGCGCUGUACUCGUUCACGUCCAACAACGAGCAGGAGCUGUCGUUCGAGAAGGGAGACCGCCUCGAGAUCAUCGAGCGGCCGCCCUCCGACCCCGAGUGGUACCGCGCCCGGGACUCGCGCGGACACGUGGGGCUCGUGCCCAGGAACUACCUGCAGGAGCUCGCCGACUACCUCACGCAGCCCUACAGCGAGGGCGGCGCCGUGCGCGGCGCGGGCGGCGCGGCGGGGCGCGCGUGGUACUACGGGGCCAUCACGCGCACGCACUGCGACGCGCUGCUCAACCAGCACGGACACGACGGGGACUUCCUCAUCCGCGACUCCGAGACCAACGUGCGUACUCCCCUCACACUCACUGUACUGCUGCACUAUACUCACUGUAGCCCACACAACACUAACGCUCGUGCGCGCGUGGUACUACGGGGCCAUCACGCGCACGCACUGCGACGCGCUGCUCAACCAGCACGGACACGACGGGGACUUCCUCAUCCGCGACUCCGAGACCAACGUGCGUACUCCCCUCACACUCACUGUACUGCUGCACUAUACUCACUGUAGCCCACACAACACUAACGCUCGUGCGCGCGUGGUACUACGGGGCCAUCACGCGCACGCACUGCGACGCGCUGCUCAACCAGCACGGACACGACGGGGACUUCCUCAUCCGCGACUCCGAGACCAACGUGCGUACUCCCCUCACACUCACUGUACUGCUGCACUAUACUCACUGUAGCCCACACAACACUAACGCUCGUGCGCGCGUGGUACUACGGGGCCAUCACGCGCACGCACUGCGACGCGCUGCUCAACCAGCACGGACACGACGGGGACUUCCUCAUCCGCGACUCCGAGACCAACGUGCGUACUCCCCUCACACUCACUGUACUGCUGCACUAUACUCACUGUAGCCCACACAACACUAACGCUCGUGCGCGCGUGGUACUACGGGGCCAUCACGCGCACGCACUGCGACGCGCUGCUCAACCAGCACGGACACGACGGGGACUUCCUCAUCCGCGACUCCGAGACCAACGUGCGUACUCCCCUCACACUCACUGUACUGCUGCACUAUACUCACUGUAGCCCACACAACACUAACGCUCGUGCGCGCGUGGUACUACGGGGCCAUCACGCGCACGCACUGCGACGCGCUGCUCAACCAGCACGGACACGACGGGGACUUCCUCAUCCGCGACUCCGAGACCAACGUGCGUACUCCCCUCACACUCACUGUACUGCUGCACUAUACUCACUGUAGCCCACAGAACACUAACGCUCGUGCGCGCGUGGUACUACGGGGCCAUCACGCGCACGCACUGCGACGCGCUGCUCAACCAGCACGGACACGACGGGGACUUCCUCAUCCGCGACUCCGAGACCAACGUGCGUACUCCCCUCACACUCACUGUACUGCUGCACUAUACUCACUGUAGCCCACACAACACUAACGCUCGUGCGCGCGUGGUACUACGGGGCCAUCACGCGCACGCACUGCGACGCGCUGCUCAACCAGCACGGACACGACGGGGACUUCCUCAUCCGCGACUCCGAGACCAACGUGCGUACUCCCCUCACACUCACUGUACUGCUGCACUAUACUCACUGUAGCCCACAGAACACUAACGCUCGUGCGCGCGUGGUACUACGGGGCCAUCACGCGCACGCACUGCGACGCGCUGCUCAACCAGCACGGACACGACGGGGACUUCCUCAUCCGCGACUCCGAGACCAACGUGCGUACUCCCCUCACACUCACUGUACUGCUGCACUAUACUCACUGUAGCCCACACAACACUAACGCUCGUGCGCGCGUGGUACUACGGGGCCAUCACGCGCACGCACUGCGACGCGCUGCUCAACCAGCACGGACACGACGGGGACUUCCUCAUCCGCGACUCCGAGACCAACGUGCGUACUCCCCUCACACUCACUGUACUGCUGCACUAUACUCACUGUAGCCCACACAACACUAACGCUCGUGCGCGCGUGGUACUACGGGGCCAUCACGCGCACGCACUGCGACGCGCUGCUCAACCAGCACGGACACGACGGGGACUUCCUCAUCCGCGACUCCGAGACCAACGUGCGUACUCCCCUCACACUCACUGUACUGCUGCACUAUACUCACUGUAGCCCACACAACACUAACGCUCGUGCGCGCGUGGUACUACGGGGCCAUCACGCGCACGCACUGCGACGCGCUGCUCAACCAGCACGGACACGACGGGGACUUCCUCAUCCGCGACUCCGAGACCAACGUGCGUACUCCCCUCACACUCACUGUACUGCUGCACUAUACUCACUGUAGCCCACACAACACUAACGCUCGUGCGCGCGUGGUACUACGGGGCCAUCACGCGCACGCACUGCGACGCGCUGCUCAACCAGCACGGACACGACGGGGACUUCCUCAUCCGCGACUCCGAGACCAACGUGCGUACUCCCCUCACACUCACUGUACUGCUGCACUAUACUCACUGUAGCCCACACAACACUAACGCUCGUGCGCGCGUGGUACUACGGGGCCAUCACGCGCACGCACUGCGACGCGCUGCUCAACCAGCACGGACACGACGGGGACUUCCUCAUCCGCGACUCCGAGACCAACGUGCGUACUCCCCUCACACUCACUGUACUGCUGCACUAUACUCACUGUAGCCCACACAACACUAACGCUCGUGCGCGCGUGGUACUACGGGGCCAUCACGCGCACGCACUGCGACGCGCUGCUCAACCAGCACGGACACGACGGGGACUUCCUCAUCCGCGACUCCGAGACCAACGUGCGUACUCCCCUCACACUCACUGUACUGCUGCACUAUACUCACUGUAGCCCACACAACACUAACGCUCGUGCGCGCGUGGUACUACGGGGCCAUCACGCGCACGCACUGCGACGCGCUGCUCAACCAGCACGGACACGACGGGGACUUCCUCAUCCGCGACUCCGAGACCAACGUGCGUACUCCCCUCACACUCACUGUACUGCUGCACUAUACUCACUGUAGCCCACACAACAUUAACGCUCGUGCGCGCGUGGUACUACGGGGCCAUCACGCGCACGCACUGCGACGCGCUGCUCAACCAGCACGGACACGACGGGGACUUCCUCAUCCGCGACUCCGAGACCAACGUGCGUACUCCCCUCACACUCACUGUACUGCUGCACUAUACUCACUGUAGCCCACACAACACUAACGCUCGUGCGCGCGUGGUACUACGGGGCCAUCACGCGCACGCACUGCGACGCGCUGCUCAACCAGCACGGACACGACGGGGACUUCCUCAUCCGCGACUCCGAGACCAACGUGCGUACUCCCCUCACACUCACUGUACUGCUGCACUAUACUCACUGUAGCCCACACAACACUAACGCUCGUGCGCGCGUGGUACUACGGGGCCAUCACGCGCACGCACUGCGACGCGCUGCUCAACCAGCACGGACACGACGGGGACUUCCUCAUCCGCGACUCCGAGACCAACGUGCGUACUCCCCUCACACUCACUGUACUGCUGCACUAUACUCACUGUAGCCCACACAACACUAACGCUCGUGCGCGCGUGGUACUACGGGGCCAUCACGCGCACGCACUGCGACGCGCUGCUCAACCAGCACGGACACGACGGGGACUUCCUCAUCCGCGACUCCGAGACCAACGUGCGUACUCCCCUCACACUCACUGUACUGCUGCACUAUACUCACUGUAGCCCACACAACACUAACGCUCGUGCGCGCGUGGUACUACGGGGCCAUCACGCGCACGCACUGCGACGCGCUGCUCAACCAGCACGGACACGACGGGGACUUCCUCAUCCGCGACUCCGAGACCAACGUGGGCGACUUCUCGGUGUCGCUGAAGGCGCCGGGCCGCAACAAGCACUUCCGCGUGCACGUGGAGGGCAGCCUGUACUGCAUCGGCCAGCGCAAGUUCCCGGCGCUGGAGCAGCUGGUGGCGCACUACCAGCGCGCGCCCAUCUACACCAACAAGCAGGGCGAGAAGCUCUACCUCGUGCGCCCGCUGCCGCGCAGCGACCAGCUCUGCUGAGCCGCCCGGACAACGGACGCGGGAAUUACGGGCUCUGACGACUCAUGUCGACGAACCAGAAAUAUCGUUAGAAAAAACUAAAUCCAAUAGGAUACCGUAAUUUCUCGAUUGUCGUAACGAAUCAGGCUGAGCGAGCACCGCAGCGAGCGAACUGCCGGCGUAGUGUAGCAAGGCGCGCGAACGACGCCUAAAUGUAAUUACAACAUUAACAAAACCAAAAAUUGGCUUCAUUAUCUCUAUUAGUGUAUAACAUUUUAUAUCAUAUUAUUUUAGGUAAGUUGGAUAGUGUAAUUUUUAUAAUGGGUUAAUUAAACAGUGUUUUAUGCAUAUAAUAAUAGAUAAUUCGUCAUUGUAUCGCGCAUAGUGGACGUUUCUAUGUGCUGGUAUGUACACUGAAUGCAUAUGUUGUGAUGUUUGGCUAAGUAAGAUAUAAUGUAAGUCAUGAUCAGGGGAUAUCGUGGAAUGUCUGAGCCGCUGCUGUGAGCCGGAGUUAAUGUUUAGAGUACUGUCGCGCUUGAUCUAACCAACUCGGUUGCUAUUGACAUUCUUUGGUUUAAAAAUCUUAUCGUAGUUGACAAUUUCUAAUAAGAUUUUUGCGUAUAAAAGUUAUCGAUUUUCCGGGAGUAAUUUUAACAAUUUUGCCUGAAAAUUAGGCAACUAUGCCUCGAAUAUUUCUACUAUCAUUAUUCGCCUUCCAAAUUUCGAGCUAACAAAUGCUCAAAAUUAAAAUAAAAAAAAGUAUUAAUUAAAGUAUUAGUUGAACAUUCCGUUUUUUAUAUCUUUAUUCUUUCAAUUAUUUUAUGUAUAAUUAAAAAAAACUUGACAUCUAGGCGAAAUCAAACUCCCGCACUGUAAUCUAAUCUGUCAAACUAUUUCCUUGAUUAUUCUUGAAUUACUGUUUGAAUCAAUGCGUCAAUUAAAUAGGUUACUUCAAUCACCAAAUAAGUGUUAAUCGCAACCGUGUUGACAUAAACGCGCGAGAACCGUGGUUUAUCUCAUAAGGCGCGGUGGCACCAACCGUAUAAGUCUGAAUAGUGGAAUCGCGUAGUCAAAUAUUCAAUGAUAACCGUUAUUCCUACGUUUUAGUCUUAACAACGAAUUAGUUAACGAUUGAUUGGUACUUCGCCAGUUUAAACAUACACUAUCGAGUGACGUUAUCAAUCUAUUUAGAUGGUAUUUGUAUAUGAGCAGGUCACAUUCGUUUAAGAAAAUAUUGAGUGAUUUUUGUCACGCGCACUGUCCGCUAAUGGUGAUAUUAUGUCCCGUGUGAAGGGAGCGAGCUUAUUGCUAGUUAGUGGGCGAUACUAAUCUCGGAACUGCUGAUGUAUCAACUGUACUAUAACACUCGACAGCACUCACGGAUGGUGUAGUUUCAACUGGAGUCGUGGGCACGGAAUCUCAAAGGGUAGAUUUCCACUGACGUGACAAUCGCUAGUCAAUAUUGUACGUCGACAUCACAAUUAAUUCUCACUUUACAUAACUGUUCUCAGAUUUACUUUGGUAUGUUAUAGCGCGAAAUGUUUGGGUGUGUUCGUCUAUGAGAUUCUAAAGCUAGUUAUUUAUUUUUACUCACAAGUCACAAAUAAACUCUUGAACGCAUACAAUUAUACAGAGUAUGUGAGGUAGAAAGUUAUCAACUAUGAAAUAGGUAUUCUAGAAAUAUCGCGUAGUAUUAUUAUUGGUGAUCAGGUAUUAUAACGUUGUGUCUUAUGUGAUUCGAAUUAUAAUUUAAGUGGAACGUACGGUUGUUAGACAAGUAUUAAUACGACACCCAAACAGUUCGGUCGCUUUCCGCAAUCGUUCCUCGUGAACCAAGUGUAUUCAAUAACAAAGGCAGCUUGUUUGUUGUUUUACACGUAUUAUUGUUUUAUAAUAUAUUCGUUUUGUAGAUAACAAUAUAUAAAUUUAAAUGCGAAUCACGUUCAACGAUUAUUUUUAAGUUAAACAUUGACAUUUUCAUUCUUAUCAUAGCCAAUAACGUGAUGUAUUUGUCCAGGAACAUUUGGUAAACUCCACACGGCAAGUUUAAGUGAAUAGCUUUUAAACAGGAACAUUUAUUUUUGUAUGGACUUUUUAUUUUACACAUUGACAGUUGAUGAUGCACCAAGUGUAGACAUUUUUGUAUGCAAACUUAGCGUUAAGAUUAGGAUACAUAUAACGAUCAUGUACGAUAGAUGAUCGAGGGUGUUUUCCUCGGGCCGCUACGUCAGCGCGUGUGUGAACAAUUAUUUGCAUUUAUAUUAUGUAUAGUACCCUUCUGUAUGAUGUGUAUAUGACUCCACUAAUUUGAGAUUAACUCUAAACCGUUUGUUUGGAUUGCUUUCAUCAAAAUGUAAUUAAUCUGUCGUAUCAUAUAAAAUAUCGGGUCUCAGUUGCGUUUUGCUAAAUUAAAGCUUAUUGCUGUGUAACCCUCGAGAGUUCGACUGUAAGUAUAUGCUUUAAUUAUGUUUCAAUUAGGUAAAAUAUUCUUAGAUAAUUUGAAUGGAAAACAUCCUUGAAACGCCGAUGUCACCGAGACAUCGAUGACGCACUAAAUUAAUUACAUGUGAUACUUUUGAGAUAUAACUUACGUCUGCAUUAUAGUAAAUUUAAUAGUAAUUAGAUGAAAGACACGGUUUACAGUCGGGGUGAGGUAAUCGAGCAGGAUAUUGGAUAGAUUCUCAAAAAAGUGUUUUGUGCUGCUAACUUAUUUAAUGUUUUAAAUAAUAAACGGCCAGGAUUGAUUAUGCUCAUAUUGAACUAAAUAUUUGGAAGGAGCAGCCUAUCCUUCAAUAAGUUCAGAAGGUUAUGAUUGAAGCAAGAAUGAAUAUCGCUACGCUGAUGAGUUUGUUAAUUAUCAAGUGCGACCUAAGUCAUAUCUCAAAACUCAGUGAUCGUAAGUUACUAGAUCUUUUUGAUGUAUUUAAUACGUUUUAUACUCAAUAAUGUAAUUAGAAUUAAAAUGCGAGGCAAACUCAGUGUAGAGAUUUAUUAGGAAAAAGAAAUAGCAAAAUGUACCGCUGCUGCAGGUCUUGAGCAUUUUUUUUACAUGAAAACAAUGAAUCUGUAUUUAGAUACGCGUCACUUAAACAAAAAUGUACCCAAAUACAUGGUGUAUAGUGAACUAUGAGCUUAUACGAUGUAGAAAAUGUAUGAUAUGACCUCAUUGACUAUAGAAAUAAUUGAUACUACAAAUUGAUCUCGAACUCGCGUAUUCUAAGUUCAAAGUACACCACGUAUAAUAAAGUCUUCCUACAAUGUCGAAGCAUUUGAACUCGCAUCUAUUGAAUGCAAGCACAAAGCCAGUAGCGACAAAUGCACGAGGUAGGGAAUCAUUGAGAUGGACAUAUUGAAUUGACGUGCACAGGGAACACGGCCGGCCGUCGUGGUAUCUAAAUUAUAUAAUACCACAAUUGACGAGAGGAACGGCUAAUAGAUUGCGAAUGGAAAAACUAGUGCACUAAUAUUAACAAGCUUUAUUAAAUAAACAUUGCCAAACUUAGAAAGGAAUUAAAGCAGACUUUACAUUCCUAAAGCUUUUUAUAAUAACACUUGCGAUGAAUAGCUUAAAACGUAAGUAUUGGGUACUAAAGUACCACACAACCAGUUUUUCAAAAAUCGACUAAACUACAUAACUGUAUCAAACGUUUUUAUUAGUAUAACUAGGUAUAGAUAUAGAGUGAUUCGGUUUUUUAUUUUUAUAUUGCUCAAAGUAUAUUAUUUUAUAAUUUGUAUUUGUGAAUUGUGUUUGUUUGUACGUUUUCGUGAAUGUAUAUUAUCCGAUGUAACGAGCCAAUAUAAGUGCAGUAUGUAAUAUUUAACAAUAAUUUAUUUAUUAAUUUGC